UACGGAGGGGGCUAGCGUUGUUCGGAAUUACUGGGCGUAAAGCGCACGUAGGCGGCUUUGUAAGUUAGAGGUGAAAUCCUGUAGCUUAACUCCAGAAUUGCCUUUAAGACUGCAUCGCUUGAAUCCGGGAGAGGUGAGUGGAAUUCCGAGUGUAGAGGUGAAAUUCGUAGAUAUUCGGAAGAACACCAGUGGCGAAGGCGGCCCGCUGGACCGGCAUUGACGCUGAGGUGCGAAAGCGUGGGGAGCAAACAGG
Molecule: ribosomal RNA, 253 nt
Filed under: uncultured bacterium
Lineage: Bacteria
Description: partial 16S ribosomal RNA
Rfam family: Bacterial small subunit ribosomal RNA
Source: RNAcentral